GGGCUUAGGACGAACGCUGGCGGCGUGCCUAACACAUGCAAGUCGAGCGGGGACAUACGACGGAGUCGAAGUUUCGGAUGGAGACGAAGAUGUAUGUCUAGCGGCGACGGGUGAGUAACGCGUGAGCAACCUGUCCCUUACAGGGGAUAACACAGCGAAAGUUGUACUAAUACCGCAUGAGACCACGGCAGGACAUCCUGGCAGGGGUCAAAGGAGCAAUCCGGUAAGGGGUGGGCUCGCGUCCGAUUACGAUAGUUGGUGAGGUAACGGCCCACCAAGUCGACGAUCCGGUAGCCGACCUGAGAGGGUGAUCGGCCACAUUGGGACUGAGACACGGCCCAAACUCCUACGGGAGGCAGCAGUGGGGAAUAUUGGGCAAUGGGGGGAAACCCUGACCCAGCAACGCCGCGUGAGGGGAGAAGGUUUUCGGAUCGUAAACCUCUGUCCUUGGUGAAGAGGAAGAGACGGUAGCCAAGGAGGAAGCCCCGGCUAACUACGUGCCAGCAGCCGC
This 511-nucleotide ribosomal RNA is filed under the name uncultured bacterium. RNAcentral describes it as "bacterial SSU rRNA". It matches the Rfam family "Bacterial small subunit ribosomal RNA", at positions 20 to 518 of the family's 1533-position model. The record is from RNAcentral.